This 216-nucleotide unclassified non-coding RNA is filed under the name plant metagenome. RNAcentral's name for it is "partial contains small subunit ribosomal RNA, internal transcribed spacer 1, and 5.8S ribosomal RNA". The record is from RNAcentral.
UCUCCGUUGGUGAACCAGCGGAGGGAUCAUUACCGAGUGCAAACUCAUAACCCUUUGUGAACCUAUAUCUGUUGCUUCGGCGGCUCGCUCUCGGGCGAGCCCGCCGGUAAUAUCAGUAUCUCUGUUUGAACCCGACGAUACUUCUGAGUGUUCUUAGCGAACAGUUAAAACUUUUAACAACGGAUCUCUUGGCUCUAGCAUGAUGAAGAACGCAGC